AAAUUCUAAAACAAUGUUUGAACAAGUAAUUUUGGGUCCGUAAUAUAGCCCAAAUAACAAAAAUGCCCGAAAAAGUACUUAAAGGUCAAAAUCUGGGGUCCAGAAAAAGUCAAUGGAAAGGCUCCAUUGUCAUGCUUCUUUCGUCGGAGGGCUCUCUUUGGGCUUUACAAAAAGGUAUCACAUGCCAAGUUUGGCCUCACUGUAUAAAAGUUAUAGAGUCAUAAAGUUUUAACCAAAAAAAAGAAAUUAAAAAAAAGAGGGUUGCAACACGAGGACUUCCCGGGAGGUGACCCAUCCUAGUACUACUCUCGCCCAAGCACACUUAACUAAAGGUCAAAAUUUGGAGUCGACAAAAAAUCAAUGCAUAUGUUCCAUUGUCCUGCUUCUUUCAUCGGAGGGCUCUCUUUCGGCUUUCCGAAAAGGUAUCAUAUGCCAAGUUUGGCCUCACUGUAUAAAAGUUAUAGAGUCAUAAAGUUUUAAUCAAAG
This 486-nucleotide small RNA is filed under the name Arabidopsis thaliana (thale cress). Its description in RNAcentral is "ATSL274980". Lineage: Eukaryota; Viridiplantae; Streptophyta; Magnoliopsida; Brassicales; Brassicaceae. The record is from RNAcentral.